This 472-nucleotide ribosomal RNA is filed under the name uncultured bacterium. RNAcentral's name for it is "bacterial SSU rRNA". It matches the Rfam family "Bacterial small subunit ribosomal RNA", at positions 8 to 526 of the family's 1533-position model. The record is from RNAcentral.
AGAGUUUGAUCAUGGCUCAGGAUGAACGCUGGCGGUCUGCUUAACACAUGCAAGUCGAACGGAGUGCUUCGGCACUUAGUGGCGGACGGGUGAGUAACGCGUGAGAAUCUGCCUUCAGGAUGGGGACAACGACUGGAAACGGUCGCUAAUACCCGAUGAGCCGAGAGGUAAAAGAAAUUCGCCUGAAGAUGAGCUCGCGUCAGAUUAGCUAGUUGGAGUGGUAACGGCACACCAAGGCGACGAUCUGUAGCUGGUCUGAGAGGAUGACCAGCCACACUGGAACUGAGACACGGUCCAGACUCCUACGGGAGGCAGCAGUGGGGAAUUUUCCGCAAUGGGCGCAAGCCUGACGGAGCAAGACCGCGUGGGGGAUGAAGGUUUGUGGAUUGUAAACCCCUUUUGACAGGGAAGAUAAUGACGGUACCUGUCGAAUCAGCAUCGGCUAACUCCGUGCCAGCAGCCGCGGUAAUAC